CGUCCAUCGUCUAAAGGAUAGGAUAGAGGUCUUCUAAACCUCCAGUAUAGGUUCGAAUCCUAUUGGACGUAUUAUUUAAUA
This 81-nucleotide transfer RNA is filed under the name Acrolejeunea sandvicensis. RNAcentral describes it as "tRNA-Arg". The stretch from base 1 to 71 matches the Rfam family "tRNA". From Rfam's summary of the family: Transfer RNA (tRNA) molecules are approximately 80 nucleotides in length. Their secondary structure includes four short double-helical elements and three loops (D, anti-codon, and T loops). Lineage: Eukaryota; Viridiplantae; Streptophyta; Jungermanniopsida; Porellales; Lejeuneaceae. RNAcentral also lists the same sequence under 3 other names. The record is from RNAcentral.